AUGAGUCUUUUAUUUUGGAACUGCCGGGGGGCGGGGAACCGCCGGACAGUUCAUGAGGUCUUGGCCCUCUCAAAAGCCAAUUCCCCGAAGAUUGUCUUCCUCUGUGAAACUAGGCAAUCUUCAGUGAAAAUGGAAAAGCUUAAAUGGAGAUUGGGUAUGAAGGGAUUUAAAGGAAUUUGCAAUGACGGUCGCAGCAGAGGGCUAGCUCUAUAUUGGGAUGAAAGCCUCCAAGAAGCGAUCAUGGAUGCUUGUGCACGGUAUAUUGACGUGCAAGUGAUAGAUGCUAGUUGUGAUCUGUGUUGGCGAGCAACUUUUGUCUAUGGUGAACCACGUGUGGAGCAUCGUCAUCGCAUGUGGGAUCACCUUACGAAUCUACGGGCCAACUCACAGGUACCAUGGUUUGUUUGUGGUGAUUUUAAUGAGACCUUAUGGCAACAUGAACACUUUUCAAGGUCGAUGCGUGCAGAAAGUCAGAUGGAUGCUUUUCGUGAUUGUCUCAUGGUGUGUGAACUUGAGGACUUUAGGUUUUUCUGGUGUACCUUACACCUAUGA
Molecule: ribosomal RNA, 552 nt
Filed under: Triticum aestivum (bread wheat)
Lineage: Eukaryota; Viridiplantae; Streptophyta; Magnoliopsida; Poales; Poaceae
Description: partial small subunit ribosomal RNA
Source: RNAcentral